UACGAGGGGUCCAAGCGUUGUUCGGAAUUACUGGGCGUAAAGCGGGUGUAGGUGGACUGAUCAGCGGAUGUGAAAGCCCUGGGCUCAACCCAGGAAGUGCAUCCGAUACUGUCAGUCUUGAGUACUGGAGAGGGAAGUGGAAUUCCUGGUGUAGCGGUGAAAUGCGUAGAUAUCAGGAGGAACAGUGGCGAAAGGCGGCUCCUG
Molecule: ribosomal RNA, 204 nt
Filed under: uncultured bacterium
Lineage: Bacteria
Description: partial 16S ribosomal RNA
Rfam family: Bacterial small subunit ribosomal RNA
Source: RNAcentral